CAGUAGCCACGGUAAUACGAAGGGUGCAAGCGUUAAUCGGAAUUACUGGGCGUAAAGCGUGUGUAGGUGGUUGUUUAAGUCUGUCGUGAAAGCCCUGGGCUCAACCUGGGAAUUGCGAUGGAUACUGGGCGACUAGAGUGCGGUAGAGGAUAGUGGAAUUUCCGGUGUAGCAGUGAAAUGCGUAGAGAUCGGAAGGAACAUCUGUGGCGAAGGCGACUAUCUGGGCCAACACUGACACUGAGACACGAAAGCGUGGGGAGCAAACAGGAUUAGAUACCCCCGUAGUCCCUGUCUCUUAUAC
RNAcentral lists this ribosomal RNA (301 nucleotides) under uncultured bacterium. Its description in RNAcentral is "partial 16S ribosomal RNA". It matches the Rfam family "Bacterial small subunit ribosomal RNA", at positions 509 to 807 of the family's 1533-position model. The record is from RNAcentral.